UGGUCUGCAGGCCGAUGCUCUAUCCACUGAGACAAACUGGCCAGGGCCCAAUUUCCUUCUUGUGGGCAGCUUAACCAACAUCUCUCCACUUCUGAUGAAUGAAUGCCAGCAACCAGGGUACAAGCCAGGUCGUCCGGGCCCCGUGCCUGUGCCUUUGAAGGCUGGGUGGAAGGAUUCGAUGUGCAGGGAGGCCUUCUUCUUUGGGAAUGAGAGGGUGUCUGCUUCGUGCAUAAAUCCUCCCUCGUGCCCAGCCCGGUGUUGAGGCCGGAUGUUCUACGUUGCGUACGGGCCUGUCCCUACCUCUCAGUCUCACUCGAUUUAUAGAGGGUGGAGCCCACCAUCCUGGGCCAUCAACCUGAGGGACCCGAGGGAUCGUUUCCUCUCUGAGCAAAAGCCUGUCGGAUGCCUCUGCCUUACAAGGAGGCAGACACUGGCAGACGCCCUCCUUCCUCUUUCCACCCCAGGCACCGUGCUGAGCAGCGACCAGGUAGAGCCCCUUCUCCUGCCUCUGCUGGUAGAUUUUCUCCGUGGCCUCAGCUGGACAGAAGCAGGGGUGUCCCCCUCUGUAGGACCCCCACCCUGUCUCUUUUUACUGCCUUUGUGUGUCAUUUACUCAUUCCAGCCACGUGGUCACUUUGCUGUUCCUCUAGCCCAGUGAUUCUAAUGUGCAGCCAAGGUUGAGAACCACUGCUCUAGCCCAUCAGGCCGCACCCUAUCUCAGGGCUUUGGCACUGCCUGUGUCCACCCCCGGAACCUGCAUGUCUUUGCUCAAAUGUCACCUUCCCAGUGACCAUCCUUCUUAACCCCCCCCCCCCCACGACUCCCUACUUUAUUUUCCUCCAUCACUGUGCAAAUGCUAGAAAUCUACUUAUUAUUUGGGGUACUGCCUGCUUUCCUCUGGUAAAGGGUGAGCUCCAUGAAGGUGUGUGGUUUUGUACCCCAGAGCCUAAGAUAGCAUUGGGUUUACCGUGAGUGCUAAACGCAUAGCUGUGAGUGAGUGAGUGAAUGAAUGGAUCAACCGCGACAUCCCAUCGGUGUCCCCUGGAAUGCAGAGAGGCAGGUUUCUCCUUAUCCUUUUAUAAAGCACAGGAAGCGAGCAAACUGUGAGUUCUGAACACAGGGCUCCCAAGCAGGAUAUGCUGAUGGGAGUCCCUUGUGGGAGCAACGCAGAAAUCUGGGGACACCGUGGUCGAGAACAGCUGUCCAUGUCCACCAAUCCCGCCUGUUCCCUGUGAGAAGGACAAUUCUGGCAUAUGCUCCCCGCAGGGCAUCCUCCUGAGUGUAUGUCAUCACCGCGGCCCUGACACUCAGGGGCGGCUGCUUUAGAGAGAAGUUCAGCUGUCUUAAGGGGCAGCCACUGUGGAAACAGUGUGACAGUUCCUCAAAA
Molecule: long non-coding RNA, 1387 nt
Organism: Myotis brandtii (Brandt's bat)
Lineage: Eukaryota; Metazoa; Chordata; Mammalia; Chiroptera; Vespertilionidae
Exons: 2
Source: RefSeq, a predicted model, not a curated record